This 266-nucleotide long non-coding RNA is filed under the name Brassica napus (rape). RNAcentral describes it as "long non-coding RNA (BNAP_LNC019668)". Lineage: Eukaryota; Viridiplantae; Streptophyta; Magnoliopsida; Brassicales; Brassicaceae. The record is from RNAcentral.
AAAAAAUCUGAAAUAAUUGGAAAAAAAUAAUGACGCCAAUUUUAAUAAUGAUAACGCCACUAACUAAACCCUAAACUUUAAAUCUAUACUCUAAACGCUAAACCCAAACUGUAAACCCUAAACUCAAGAUGUAAACCCUAAACCCAAACCCUAUAUCCUAAACCCAAAUCCUAAAUCUUAAAUCCUAAACCCAAACCAUAAACCCUAAACCCAAACCCUAUAUCCUAAACCCAAAUCAUAGACUCUAAACUCGAACCAUAUAUCCA